Long non-coding RNA from Gorilla gorilla gorilla (western lowland gorilla), 3246 nucleotides. RefSeq lists it as uncharacterized. The transcript has 3 exons. The record is from RefSeq and is a predicted model, not a curated record. NCBI's taxonomy places the organism in Eukaryota, Metazoa, Chordata, Mammalia, Primates, Hominidae.
UUUGUGUGUGCAAGAAUCACAGCCAGCGAGUCUGUAAACAAUGAAGAUUCUUGGGGAACCACCUGCUUCAAGAUUCAGAUCUUGAGGUCUGGAAUGGGGCUGAGAAGUCUCAUUUAACAAACACCCAACACGCUUGUUAAUUCCAAUGUGCUGUCUAUUGGGCUUAGCUGCUCUGUGAGGUGGAAGGGUGGAUGGGUGGAGAUAAAGAGCCUGGAGCCAGGUCAUACGGACCUGGCACGUCACCAUCCUGGGAGGUCUAAACCCUGCAGAGGGAAAUCAGGGAGUCAACACUGAAUAUGGAGGGGGAGACAUUCGAGAAUUCUUACCAAAGAGUUGCUGAAUGUUUAUUAAAGCCAAUUUUGUAUGCACCCGGGUAUACAAAAGAGUCUGAAAUUAUACAUGUCGGGAAAUUCAUCAUGCAGUGGCCCUCAACCCAUCUGAACAUUUUCUCUGGCUACAGAAAAUGCCUGGGUCGUGCCCCGAAAUGAAUCUUCAUUUCAAAGAGAAACGGUAGGAUUUACAGGUAUCUGCAAUUAGAUUCAUUACAAAGACUUUGACAAGUACUCUUAAAUACAAGUUUCAAAAAACUUUAAGAUCAAUGUGGUUUUUUUCCCCCCAAGAUGGCAGAUUAGAGGCAUUGUUACCAUGCCUCUUGUAUUAGUCCCUUUUCAUGCUGCUGAUAAAGACAUACCUGAGACUGGGUAAUUUAUAAAGAAAAAGAGGUUUAAUAGACUCACAGUUCCCCAUGGCUGGGGAGGCUUCACAAUCAUGGCAGAAGAUGAAGGCAUGUCUUACAUGGCGGCAGGCAAGAGACAGCAUGUGCAGGGGAACUCUCCUUUGUAAAACCAUCAGAUCUCAUAAGACUUAUUCACUAUCAUGAGAACAGUAUGGGAAAAAUCCGCCCCCAUGAUUCAAUUAUUUGCCACUGGGUCCUUCCCACAACACAUGGGAAUUACGGGAGCUACAAUUCAAGAUGAGAUCUGGGCGGAGAUGAAGCCAAACCAUAUCACCUCUCAUACUUGGAAAGACAAAAUAGUGUGUAGAGACUCACGCUAUAAUUUUUUUCCCAAGAAACACCACAGGCAUUUAACCAGAAAACUGAAAGAAACCACAGACUCUUUGAAAGAAGUGGUGGCAGCAGCCUACACCAUAAGCCAGGUGGAAAACUGUGAGUCCUCAGAGUGUGGCAGUGGGAGAGACUGCCUCUGUGACACACACUCCCACUAGGGAACCUGAUAAUAUAGGCCAUGGGGGAUGGCCUUGGCCCCACCCAGCACUGGAGCUGAGCAGUGGGGAAUGUUGAGAAGGAGCAGCAUCGGACAUGCUUUGCGUGCACUCCUAGACUCCAGUGGGGAUGGAGAGAAGACAUUCCUGACUCUACUUCACACGGAGCCUUGCAGAAGUCAGCCAGCCAACUCAGGUGGCAGUCACAGGUUGAGAGAAGGUCUCAACUGUGAUUCACGACAUAAUCUUGAGUGGGGAUGAACUCCCUUGGCCAGAACUAAGGGGCAAGCGGGGGUACUGUAGUCACAAGUACAGAAGCUGGGCACCCCUGCUUUGGGGUGGACCAGGAGGGGCACGGCCUGAAAACCACAGUUUCUGUCUGGGUGGGGAAAGCUUAUAGCCUGUGGCAGUUUUGAGUUCUCAGUGCAAGGUUCCUGGAACCCAGCUAGCUGCGUUAAACAAACAAAAAGAGUUUGUGCUGUUGCUAAUAUUACAUGCUAUACUUGGAUAAAUUCCCCUAAAAGAGUUAAGACUCAAAGACACAAAAUUAAAAAAAAAAAAAUGCAGGUUACAAUGAGGGAAGAAAGAGACCCUCUCAUAUUGUUUUAUACUCAGUACCUGUUUUAAGAAAAAAACAAGGAAGUGAAACCAAAGGCAGGCAGCCCAGCGCCAGGCGCCAGACCCAAAACCGGACCCAAAACCAGGCCUGGGCCUGCCUGGCCUAAACCUAGUAGUUAAAAUUCCACCCCUGACCUAGCAACUGAUGUUAUCUAUAGAUUCCAGACAUUAUAUAGAAGGACAUUGUGAAACCUCCCAUUCUGUUCUGUUUCACUCUGACCACCAGUACAUGCAGCCCCCGUCAUGUACCGCCUGCUUGGUCAAAUCAAUCACGACCCUUUCAUGUAAAAUCUUUAGUGUUGUGAGCCCCUAAAAAGGACAGAAAUUGUGCACUCAGGGAGCUCGGAUUUUAAGACAGUAGCUUGCCGAUGCUCCCAGCUGAAUAAAGCCCUUCCUUCUACAACUCGGUGUCUGAGAGGUUUUGUCUGUGGCUCAUCCUGCUACAACAACAAGUUUCACCUAAUUUGUCAUGGUCAUUUAAUUAAUUUAAUUUAUUUAACUGGUUGCUUUUAAACCUAAGUUCAUGGAUCACAACUAAUAUACAAGCUGAGAUUGUCAUAUUACUAUUAAUUUUACUUUGUAUUUUUCUUUUAAACCUUGUACCUAUUACUUGUUAAAUUUCUACAAAACAAAUCUUCACAGAAUAAUACUGGCCCAACACUUUUAGAUAAUAGUAAAUGCCUACGGAAUAGACAAAAACUUAAACUUAACACUUGAUUUUAGGUAGAUGUAGCCUGAGAACCACUCUCUCCAAACCCCUCUUGUUGCUCAAAUGUAGCUAAAAGAGUUUAGACACUAACUCCAAUUACGCCUUCCAAUGUAGGACCAGCCAACAACGUGAGACAGGUCAAUCCCAGCUGCCUCACCGAGGGAUAAUCAAAACCUAACUACAAAAUGGUUAGCCAGUGAUUUUUUUAAAAAAUCUUGAUCAAAAAAGGAAAUGUGAAAGUUGUCAGAAUAAAAAUAAAGUCACCUGUGUUAAAAAGCAAAAAUAAAAGCAAGCCCCUGAAAAAUAAAGCUAGGGAAGGUCAUGAAAGGAAGAUUCUCAUAUACAGAUGCCUGCUGACAAAAACUAUUGCAAAAGACUGCAAAAACCUUGCACAAAGGCCACUACAACCUUACACGAGAAAAUACUGCUGCGAGAACACCUGCCUAGCAACUGCCUGUCCAACCUUGGACUGAUGCCACCCUUGUUAUUGAUCCUUCUAUUCAAAGAUAACUAUCUCAAAAACAAUUACAUAAUUCUUCUCAUUUUUUCUUUAAAAUCCUUUGUCUUCUUUUACCUCCCUGAAUAUGCACAUGGUUUACUAUGGCACACCUAUGCCAAUUGCAAUGCCCAUUCCUGAAUAAACAUUGUUUUCUUUCAGAAAGUCUCCCUGUUUGUUUGUUAUUUAGAUUGGAAAA